This 154-nucleotide ribosomal RNA is filed under the name Pseudo-nitzschia calliantha. RNAcentral's name for it is "5.8S ribosomal RNA". It matches the Rfam family "5.8S ribosomal RNA". From Rfam's summary of the family: 5.8S ribosomal RNA (5.8S rRNA) is a component of the large subunit of the eukaryotic ribosome. Lineage: Eukaryota; Bacillariophyta; Bacillariophyceae; Bacillariales; Bacillariaceae. The record is from RNAcentral.
UACAACUUUCAGCGGUGGAUGUCUAGGUUCCCACAACGAUGAAGAACGCAGCGAARUGCGAUACGYAAUGCRAAUUGCAAGACCUCGUGUAUMAUKAAAAUUUUGAACGCACAUUGCGCUUUCGGGAUUUUCCCGGGAGCAUACUUGUCUGAGU